AUUGAACGCUGGCGGCAUGCUUUACACAUGCAAGUCGAACGGCAGCGGGGAGGAGCUUGCUUCUCUGCCGGCGAGUGGCGAACGGGUGAGUAAUACAUCGGAACGUGUCGAGAAGAGGGGGAUAACCACCCGCAAGGGUGGCUAAUACCGCAUAAAUUCUGAGGAAGAAAGCUGGGGACCUAGGAAUAGGCCUAGCGCUUUUUGAGCGGCCGAUGUCGGAUUAGCUAGUUGGGGAGGUAAAGGCUCACCAAGGCGAAGAUCUGUAGCGGGUCUGAGAGGAUGAUCCGCCACACUGGGACUGAGACACGGCCCAGACUCCUACGGGAGGCAGCAGUGGGGAAUUUUGGACAAUGGGGGCAACCCUGAUCCAGCCAUGCCGCGUGUAUGAAGAAGGCCUUAGGGUUGUAAAGUACUUUUGUUAGGGAAGAAAAGUCAGCUGUGAAUAAUGGCUGAUACUGACGGUACCUAAAGAAUAAGCACCGGCCAACUACGUG
RNAcentral lists this ribosomal RNA (494 nucleotides) under uncultured bacterium. Its description in RNAcentral is "partial 16S ribosomal RNA". It matches the Rfam family "Bacterial small subunit ribosomal RNA", at positions 30 to 507 of the family's 1533-position model. The record is from RNAcentral.